RNAcentral lists this ribosomal RNA (99 nucleotides) under Octodon degus (degu). Lineage: Eukaryota; Metazoa; Chordata; Mammalia; Rodentia; Octodontidae. The record is from RNAcentral.
CUCUGGGACCAUACCACCCUGAAUGCACCCAAUCUCGUCUGAUCUCGGAAGCUAAGCAGGAUCGGCCCUGGUUAGUGCUUGGAUGGGAAAUUUUAAAAA